UUUAGUACCAAGUAGGGUAAUUAACAAAUAUAUAAAAUAAUAAAAACUAAAACAAAGUAAUAAUAAAAAGAAUAAAAUAGAAAAAAUCACACAAAAAAAGAAGAGGGAAGCCACAAACAGUGGACUUCCCCGCUGCACCUAUUACACGUCCAGCAAGAGGAAGCUGUCGGGAUCCAUGGAGGCCACGCAUCGGAAUGAACAGGGGAGUCCAGGUAGCAUCAGCGACGACGCGUGGAGAGGAGGAGGACAAAACCCAACCAAGUUCACCCUCUGGUCACGCCUCAAACCACUGGCAGUUCUCUAGGACCUCAAAAGUUUGUCUCCGGUGAGAAAACAGUAUAGUGAUGAAUGAAAAUGAAGAAGAUGACAUAUGAAGGGAAGAGGUUGUUGUGUUUGUGUUUUGUUUAGGGGCUGAACUUUGUGUUUCUCCUUAGGGGUUGCCUCCUCAUUUGGUUGUGUUAGCUAAUGCCCCAUUUGUGUGUUAUCUUCUCUUUUUUAUGGGCUGUUGAUUUAGCUUUUUUUUGGUUGCUAAAGCCAUUGAAGUGUUGAAGUAUGAAUUUAAGGAUAAGGUGCUCCUUUGGAGGCUGAGUGUGUUUCAAAAAAAUGGGUGUCGUGUAAAAGCUGCUGAAUUAGGUUUAAGGAUA
RNAcentral lists this long non-coding RNA (644 nucleotides) under Lupinus angustifolius (narrow-leaved blue lupine). RNAcentral describes it as "long non-coding RNA (LANG_LNC002788)". Lineage: Eukaryota; Viridiplantae; Streptophyta; Magnoliopsida; Fabales; Fabaceae. The record is from RNAcentral.